RNAcentral lists this ribosomal RNA (279 nucleotides) under uncultured bacterium. RNAcentral's name for it is "partial 16S ribosomal RNA". It matches the Rfam family "Bacterial small subunit ribosomal RNA", at positions 506 to 784 of the family's 1533-position model. The record is from RNAcentral.
UGCCAGCCGCCGCGGUAAUACGGAGGGUGCAAGCGUUGUUCGGAUUUAUUGGGCGUAAAGGGCGUACAGGCGGUAGUGCAAGUCAGAUGUGAAAUGUCUCGGCUCAACCGAGGACCUGCAUUUGAUACUGCAUUACUUGAGUACAGGAGAGGAGAGCGGAAUUCUACGUGUAGCGGUGGAAUGUGUAGAUAUGUGGAAGAACACCAGUGGCGAAGGCGGCUCUCUGGCCUGAUACUGACGCUGACGCGCGAAAGCUAGGGGAGCAAACGGGAUUAGAUA